Molecule: ribosomal RNA, 492 nt
Filed under: uncultured bacterium
Lineage: Bacteria
Description: partial 16S ribosomal RNA
Rfam family: Bacterial small subunit ribosomal RNA
Source: RNAcentral
AGUGAACGCUGGCGGUAGGCCUAACACAUGCAAGUCGAACGGCAGCACAGUAAGAGCUUGCUCUUACGGGUGGCGAGCUGCGGACGGGUGAGGAAUACAUCGGAAUCUACUUUUUCGUGGGGGAUAACGUAGGGAAACUUACGCUAAUACCGCAUACGACCUACGGGUGAAAGCAGGGGAUCUUCGGACCUUGCGCGAUUGAAUGAGCCGAUGUCGGAUUAGCUAGUUGGCGGGGUAAAGGCCCACCAAGGCGACGAUCCGUAGCUGGUCUGAGAGGAUGAUCAGCCACACUGGAACUGAGACACGGUCCAGACUCCUACGGGAGGCAGCAGUGGGGAAUAUUGGACAAUGGGCGCAAGCCUGAUCCAGCCAUACCGCGUGGGUGAAGAAGGCCUUCGGGUUGUAAAGCCCUUUUGUUGGGAAAGAAAAGCAGCAGGUUAAUACCCCGCUGUUCUGACGGUACCCAAAGAAUAAGCACCGGCUAACUUCGUG